This 354-nucleotide ribosomal RNA is filed under the name uncultured bacterium. RNAcentral describes it as "bacterial SSU rRNA". It matches the Rfam family "Bacterial small subunit ribosomal RNA", at positions 28 to 405 of the family's 1533-position model. The record is from RNAcentral.
GAUGAACGCUGGCGGUGUGCUUAAGACAUGCAAGUCGAACGAGGUCUUCGGACCUAGUGGCGGACGGGUGAGUAACACGUUAGUACCUGCCCUAAAGUGGGGAAUAACUCGGCGAAAGUCGAGCUAAUACCGCAUGUGACCGUUUACGGUUAAAGCCUUCGGGCGCUUUAGGAGGGGCGUUGCGCUAGAUUAGCUUGUUGGUAGGGUAAUGGCCUACCAAGGCGACGAUCUAUAGCUGGUUCGAGAGGAUGACCAGCCACACGUGGACUGAGAUACGGCCACGACUCCUACGGGAGGCAGCAGUCAGGAAUAUUCCACAAUGGGCGAAAGCCUGAUGGAGCAACACCGCGUGCA